ACCCCCUUCGGGUGGGGAUUAGUGGCGAACGGGUGAGUAACACGUGGGCAAUCUGCCCUGCACUCUGGGACAAGCCCUGGAAACGGGGUCUAAUACCGGAUACUGAACCGCUUGGGCAUCCGCGCGGUUCGAAAGCUCCGGCGGUGCAGGAUGAGCCCGCGGCCUAUCAGCUUGUUGGUGAGGUAACGGCUCACCAAGGCGACGACGGGUAGCCGGCCUGAGAGGGCGACCGGCCACACUGGGACUGAGACACGGCCCAGACUCCUACGGGAGGCAGCAGUGGGGAAUAUUGCACAAUGGGCGAAAGCCUGAUGCAGCGACGCCGCGUGAGGGAUGACGGCCUUCGGGUUGUAAACCUCUUUCAGCAGGGAAGAAGCGAAAGUGACGGUACCUGCAGAAGAAGCGCCGGCUAACUACGUGCCAGCAGCCGCGGUAAUACGUAGGGCGCGAGCGUUGUCCGGAAUUAUUGGGCGUAAAGAGCUCGUAGGCGGCUUGUCGCGUCGGUUGUGAAAGCCCGGGGCUUAACCCCGGGUCUGCAGUCGAUACGGGCAGGCUAGAGUUCGGUAGGGGAGAUCGGAAUUCCUGGUGUAGCGGUGAAAUGCGCAGA
This 607-nucleotide ribosomal RNA is filed under the name Streptomyces speibonae. RNAcentral's name for it is "bacterial SSU rRNA". It matches the Rfam family "Bacterial small subunit ribosomal RNA", at positions 73 to 694 of the family's 1533-position model. The record is from RNAcentral. Lineage: Bacteria; Bacillati; Actinomycetota; Actinomycetes; Kitasatosporales; Streptomycetaceae.